AACGAACGCUGGCGGCAUGCCUAACACAUGCCAGUCGAACGAGACCUUCGGGUCUAGUGGCGCACGGGUGCGUAACGCGUGGGAACCUGCCCUUAGGUUCGGAAUAACUCCCCGAAAGGGGUGCUAAUACCGGAUAAUGUCUUCGGACCAAAGAUUUAUCGCCUUUGGAUGGGCCCGCGUUGGAUUAGCUAGUUGGUAGGGUAAAAGCCUACCAAGGCGACGAUCCAUAGCUGGUCUGAGAGGAUGAUCAGCCACACUGGGACUGAGACACGGCCCAGACUCCUACGCGAGGCAGCAGUGGGGAAUAUUGGACGAUGGGCGAAAGCCUGAUCCAGCAAUGCCGCGUGAGUGAUGAAGGCCUUAGGGUUGUAAAGCUCUUUUACCCGGGAUGAUAAUGACAGUACCGGGAGAAUAAGCUCCGGCUAACUCCGUG
Molecule: ribosomal RNA, 433 nt
Filed under: uncultured bacterium
Lineage: Bacteria
Description: partial 16S ribosomal RNA
Rfam family: Bacterial small subunit ribosomal RNA
Source: RNAcentral